RNAcentral lists this long non-coding RNA (272 nucleotides) under Phoenix dactylifera (date palm). RNAcentral describes it as "long non-coding RNA (PDAC_LNC022172)". Lineage: Eukaryota; Viridiplantae; Streptophyta; Magnoliopsida; Arecales; Arecaceae. The record is from RNAcentral.
UCUCCGUCUCGCUAGGGUUUAUCCUCUCCUUCCCUUUCUCUCAAGCAUCGGCCGCUUCCAGGGUUUCGACGCGUCUCUAGGUUUUCGACAGGAUGGUCAGCCUGCUCUUUCUCUCUCCUCGCCUUCGGAUUUUCAAUUGUUUCUGCAUCUAAGGCUUUUAGAUUUUUAUCUGCUGAAUCUGUUCUGGAUCGGUUUCUAUUCAAUUGAAUUCUUCUGCUCGUCUUCCAGAUCUAUUGCCUUAUACCAAAUCGAUUUAUAGGGCUUUAAAUCUU